AUUGAACGCUGGCGGCAUGCCUUACACAUGCAAGUCGAACGGCAGCACGGGAGCAAUCCUGGUGGCGAGUGGCGAACGGGUGAGUAAUAUAUCGGAACGUGCCCAGUCGUGGGGGAUAACGUAGCGAAAGCUACGCUAAUACCGCAUACGAUCUAUGGAUGAAAGCGGGGGAUCGCAAGACCUCGCGCGAUUGGAGCGGCCGAUAUCAGAUUAGGUAGUUGGUGAGGUAAAGGCUCACCAAGCCGACGAUCUGUAGCUGGUCUGAGAGGACGACCAGCCACACUGGGACUGAGACACGGCCCAGACUCCUACGGGAGGCAGCAGUGGGGGAAUUUUGGACAAUGGGCGCAAGCCUGAUCCAGCAAUGCCGCGUGAGUGAUGAAGGCCUUAAGGGUUGUAAAGCUCUUUUACCCGGGAUGAUAAUGACAGUACCGGAGGAAUAAGCUCCGGCUAACUCCGUGCCAGC
This 466-nucleotide ribosomal RNA is filed under the name uncultured bacterium. Its description in RNAcentral is "bacterial SSU rRNA". It matches the Rfam family "Bacterial small subunit ribosomal RNA", at positions 30 to 512 of the family's 1533-position model. The record is from RNAcentral.